Non-coding RNA from Schizosaccharomyces pombe (fission yeast), 989 nucleotides. Lineage: Eukaryota; Fungi; Ascomycota; Schizosaccharomycetes; Schizosaccharomycetales; Schizosaccharomycetaceae. The record is from the annotation of a GenBank genome assembly.
GAAGUUUUUCUUCUUGGUACAGAGCACGGACCGAAUCAGAUCCACCGAUGCUAUGACCACCAACGAAGAUGUUGGGCAUUGUAGAUAUAUCGCUAAUGGAAGAAAGCCAGUCUCUUAACUCUUGAGUAUGCUCGUAGUCGGUGACUUCUACAACCACUGCUGGAGGAUCCAAUCUAAGGGUUUCUGUUAGAAGUUUUUUAGCUGCAGCACUAUAAGGACAUCCAGGACGACUAAAAAUGAUAACAGGGUUUUCAAGAAAUACUUCAAAAUCUGUUGAAUCCUUAGCAGGUAAUUUAGGAGCAGAUGGCACUGAGACAUCUGAAAGACCUAAAGGUCCUGCCUUUGCAUUUUUCUCAGGUUCAUUCAGUGGACUGAAUAUGAAGAUAUGAAUAAGCAAUAACGAUAUUAUAAGAGAUGUAAUAAGAAAAAUCUUUCUAUUAGCCAUAAUGGGAUGUAAGCUUUCCUUUCUCUUGGUAAUUUGUAUGAGCUGACGAAAAGCAGCUGAUUAAUCAAAUUAUUGUGAUUAAAGCAAAAUAAAAUAAUAUAAAAUGAAUAAACUAUUACAAUUAAAUUCCCUCACAGUUGGUUUAGAUAGUUACCCAAAACCUGUGGUAUGCAAACGGUAGGCUGGUCGCGGAUAGGUGAAUUUAGGAUAUUGCGAUUGAGGAUUGAAAAACUUCUUUAAAGGCCCAAAAAUUACUAAUUAAGCUACAAAGAUGCCACCGUUAAUAUGAAUCAAGCUCAGUCUAUUUUAAUGCUUCUACAACAAGGGCACGGAAGGAAAGGAACCUUACUUGCUCGCAUUAAGGAUGCCAAGCACUUUAGUCUUUCAGAUUAUUCUCAAAAGAUGUAAAUUUUUUUAAAUAAUCGUCAAAAAACGUAAAGGUAAUGUACAACAUUCUAAUGCUAUUUCAUCCUCAUGAUUUAGCAACUCUCAAAAGCUAAUGAACUACUUGUACACGUGUAUCGUAGAAUUGAAAUGCGUUUUA